CGAUCAGGUAAUCCUCCAUUGCGCGCUCGUCCUUGAGGUACUGCUCGGACUUGCCGCGCGUCACCUUGAACAGCGGCGGCUGGGCGAUGUAGAGAAACCCGCCUUCGAUCAGCGCCGGCAUCUGCCGGAAGAAGAACGUCAGCAGCAGCGUACGGAUAUGCGCGCCGUCGACGUCGGCGUCGGUCAUCACGAUGAUCUUGUGAUAGCGCAGCUUCGAGAUAUCGAAGUCGUCGCG
Molecule: unclassified non-coding RNA, 235 nt
Filed under: Hevea brasiliensis (rubber tree)
Lineage: Eukaryota; Viridiplantae; Streptophyta; Magnoliopsida; Malpighiales; Euphorbiaceae
Source: RNAcentral